AGAUUAUUCCAUUAAUCCAAACAAAAUGACCAUCUUGGCCUUGAAAUUUUUUCAAAAGCCCGCCCACCCACUCAUCUCUCUCCUUCUUUCGCUAUUUGAAAUCUAAUUUUCAAAUCAACUUACUCUUCUCUAGUUCUUCUCUCCCUCUCUCAGCUCUCUCUCUCACACCCACACUACAUUCCACUUGCAACUACAAGCUUCCAUUUCCUCACCGCACCACUCUCCCUAACCUCCAGUUCCGACCACCACAAACCUCGACAGAUACUGCCUAGUGUCUCCGCUGAACAUCGUCGGUUUCAACAAAAUUGGCCUUUGUCUCAUCAGAAAACCCCCAAACUCUUCUCUUUCUAGCAUCACCACCCAACACCGGAAGCUUUCUUGUUGCUUUCAACACUCGUUGUCACAAUAAGACAAAUGCUUUGCAGAUACGUUGGUUAAAAUCUUGGUCUUGAACAACUUCAUUUUGUGUGUGAAGGUUGUUGAGUGCAGUAUAUGUGGUUUCCCUAAUCUCGUACUUUGUUUUGCCUUCAUUGAGUUUUGAAGGACCCUACUACAAGAUUCUGAAGUAUGAUGGAUAGCAUUUUUGGACAAUAUUUUAUUGCAAUUGGCACAGCUAGGGGACAACAUUUUGGACUAAUAUUUUUUGGAUAACAUAUUUGACUUGGACAACUUUUUAGAUAGCAUAGCUGAAAAUUUAGACAAUUGAUUACUUAACUUGUAGCAAUUCUUUUGGAAAAUUGUUGUAACUAUUGAAGUUACUUAAACAUGAUGGAUUCUUUGUAUUAGUAGCUUCUAGUUAAAUUCUACUUAUUUGUGCAAAUAAUGAAUGUUUUUAAUGCAAAGGUAGAAGAUACAAAUA
This is a long non-coding RNA of Quercus robur (English oak), 859 nucleotides long. RefSeq lists it as uncharacterized. NCBI's taxonomy places the organism in Eukaryota, Viridiplantae, Streptophyta, Magnoliopsida, Fagales, Fagaceae. The record is from RefSeq and is a predicted model, not a curated record. The transcript has 3 exons.